GAAAUAAAUAAAAUGAAUUUCUAAUUCAUUAAAAAAUAUUAAAUUAUUUAUAUUUCU
Molecule: transfer RNA, 57 nt
Filed under: Merostenus sp.
Lineage: Eukaryota; Metazoa; Arthropoda; Insecta; Hymenoptera; Eupelmidae
Description: tRNA-Ser
Source: RNAcentral